Molecule: ribosomal RNA, 253 nt
Filed under: uncultured prokaryote
Description: partial 16S ribosomal RNA
Rfam family: Bacterial small subunit ribosomal RNA
Source: RNAcentral
ACGAAGGGUGCUAGCGUUGUUCGGAAUCACUGGGCGUAAAGCGCGCGUAUGCGGCCUAUCAAGUCAGGGGUGAAAUGCCGGAGCUUAACUUCGGAACUGCCUUUGGAACUGAUGGGCUGGAAGAUGAGAGGGGAUAGCGGAAUUUCUGGUGUAGAGGUGAAAUUCGUAGAUACCAGAAGGAACACCGGUGGCGAAGGCGGCUAUCUGGCUCAUUCUUGACGCACUGGCGCGAAAGCGUGGGGAUCAAACAGGA